AGGAUCAGCAUGACUGUAGUGUUCCUGGCUUAACCCUGAGAGGUUGCUGUUCCCAGUGACUAUCUAGGCUGAAGCCCAUGUAGGAUUUGAAGAGACUGAUCCAGGCUUUAUGAGUGGCUGCGACCAUGCUGUCCAAUUAGUAUGGUGUCACCAAUAUAUGGAUCCAUGCGAUUGAUUAUCUGUGGAGUGUCCGGAUGGUCCAGGACCCUUCAGAUUAUAUUACGAUGGAGAACAGGAAAAUUAACCAAAACCUGGGCAAGACUGCGAAUGUGUGCUACUAUCCAUCCCAGUUCUGGAGGCCGGAGUUGGAAAUCAGUUUCACUGGGCACACAUGGAGGUGUUUGAAGGGCUGCCCGUGCCAGAGGCUCUCAGGGAGAAUCCCUUCCUUGUCUGUUCCAGCUCUACCUCCUCCUCUGCUGUAUACAAAGACAAAGAAACAGGCAAAGAAACAUCUCUGACAUCAAGAUCAGGAAGUCACAGAGAGUACUUGAGUACACAUUCAGAAGUUUCAAGGAUUUUCUGUUCGUUUAUUAAACCUUAACAUUUGCUGUACAAGUUUUCAACAGGCCAAGGUUAAGUGAAGAAUGAAAAUAAUGUUUAACUCCAUUACAAAAGAGGAGGCUUUUGAUACAGACUUCAUAAUGUUCUUUGAGGAAGCAGGUAUAUGAGGUUUGUACAUUGAAUGGAUGUUCUAGAUUGAGCAAAAUACCCUCUAUGCACUCUCCUGCAGAGAGUGUGGGUGAAAUAGAAAUGUAUUUCUGGAUAGAAAGAGCAAUGUAUCACAUGCAUUCUGAAGAAGUCUAGCUGAGCAAAACCUUAAGAUUUCCUGUUGUUGCUGGACCGUAGACAUCAAUAUGACCGCUUAGCAUAAAGAUAAAGGUACCUCAGGGCCCAAGAAUAAAAAUUCCAUCGAGCACAACUCAGCGCUCUGAAAAUCUAGAUUUCCCUAAUCCCAGAGGGUGAGAGCCAAGGAGGAGCUCGUCCUGCCCAUUCCUGCCUUCCUCUAUCCCUGGCACUCACACCACAAGUUUGCUCUACUCUUAAACAAAAGCACCUGUGUUUUAAAAUUUUCAUUUUAAGUUCUGGGGUACAUGUGUAGGACAUGCAGGUUUGUUACAUAGGUAAACUUGUGCCAUGGUGGUUUGCUGCACCCAUCAACCCAUCACCUAGGUAUUAAACCGCACAUGCAUUAGCCAUUUGUCCUAAUGCUCUCCCUCCUGCCAACCCCCCACCCCCGACAGGUCCCAGUGUGUGUUGUUCCCCUCCCUGUGUCCAUGUGUUCUUACUGUUCAGCUCCCACUUAUGAGUGAGAACAUGCAGUGUUUGGUUUUCUGUUCCUGUGUUAGUUUGCUGAGGGUGAUGCCUUCCAGCUCCAUCCAUGUUCCUGCAAAGGACAUGAUCUCAUUCUUUUUUAUGGCUGCAUAGUAUUCCAUGGUAUAUAUGCAUCACAUUUUCUUUAUUCAUUCUAUCAUUGAUGGGCAUUUGGGUUGGUUCCAUGUCUUUGCUAUAGUGAAGAGUGCUACAAUGAACAUACACCUAUUUUUUUUUAACCCACAUUAUUUAUAGUCUUGUUUUCAGUAUUUUGGUAGGCAGUGCCUGGUCUGCUCCUCUCCUCCCUUCUCUGAGUUGCCCUUUUCCUCAAUUCUCUUUUACCAACUUUCCUUUUGCGAUCGUCUCUACUCUCCUUUUCUCUAUACUUCCCCUUCUUUUUCUCUUGGCCUCGACUUCUGAAUCCUGUGACAAUGGCGUGGGGGGUUUGGUGGAGAGAGGGGAACUAAAAGUGGAAAUGAGACACUGGGGAAUAAUCACAAGAAAGGAAACAAGACUUCCCAACUCUCCCCGGCUGUGAGCCCCACGACAUGGUUUCCACAUGAGCCUUCUCCCCACUUUUGGCUGCCUCCCUGACACGUUUCCAAGGAGACCUUUCCAAGUCAAGGCCGCAGCUCCCAAAGUAUUGAAGCACAAACCCAGCCCACUUCCAAUAAAUCAUCCUCUACAUACAGUUGUCUGGUUUGUAUCAGAAUGUCCUUGGGAUUCCUGUAAUGCUUGUCUCCAGAGUCACUUAGCCAGCAUUUUGGCUAGUUUUUGUUUUUGUUUUUUUUUUUCUGAUACUCUGGUUGCAUAAAGUUAAACAGGGUUUGCAAAAUGUAAUUUCAUUAUAUGAACAACAAGUUCUAUACACUGAUGAAUAACUUGGUUUUAUGUGGGCACUUAAUUCCCAGUCUAGUGCUAAGUCUUUAUCUUAAUUUUAACUUUUAAGGCAAACAAUGCAAGGCAUCAUCUUUUGAGUGGGAAAGAGGAAAAGCAUUUUAAUGAAUGAGUUCUUGGUUGGGCGCAGUGGCUCACUCCUGUAAUCCCAGCACUUUUGGAGACUGAGGCAGGAGGAUCGCUUGAGCUCGGGAGUUCAAGACCAGCCUGGGAAACAUGGUGAAACCCCGCCUCUACACAAAAAUUAAAAAAUUAGCCGGGGAGGGGGAUUGAUUGUGUGCAUUUGCAGCUGAGCUGCAGUGAGUCCCAGCUACUCGGGAGGCUGAGGGGGGAAGAUUGUUUGAGCCUAGGAGGGUGAGGCUGCAGUGACUUAUGAUCCUGCCACUGCACUCCAGCCUGGGCAAUAGAGUGAGACUCUCCAAAAAAAGAAAAAUAGAAUGAAUAAUGAAUGAGUUCUUGAAAGGAGAGAUGUAGCUGGGCACAGUGGCUCACAUGCUUGUAAUCCCAGCACUUUGGGAGGAUAAAGCAUGUGCAUCACCUGAGGUCAGGCAUGGUGGCGGGUGCCUGUAAUCCCAGCUACUUGGGAGGCUGAGGCAGGAGAAUUGCUUGAACCCAGGAGGCUGAGGUUGCAGUGAGCCGAGAUCACACCACUGCACUCCGGCCUGGGUUACAAGAGUGAAACUCUGCCAAAAAGAAAGAAAGAAAGAGAGAGACAGAGACAGAGAGAGAGAGAAAAGAAGGAAGGAAGGAAGGAAGGAAGGAAGGAAGGAAGGUAGGAAGGAAGGGAGAGAGAGAGAGAAAGAAAGAAAGGAGAGAUGUGAAAAAUAUGUUUAAGAAUUUCUCAUACAUUCAUGUCUGAAAGGAAUCAUUUUAUUCAUCCCUCUUUCAUGGAUGAAGACAUUGAGGCCCAGGUGUGGUAAAAUUUGCCCGAAGUAGCCCGUGAGUCCGUGAGAUGUCCUGCUCCCAUCUGGAGAGGAGGAGACACGCACAGCCGUCUCCACCACAAGCCGGAUUCCAGACACUGAUCCUGCCACCACCACCCCAGUCUUCUGUCUGUCCCUCUCAGCAUGGCAGUCAUGUACCCUGGCACAAUUUCUGUGAAAAUCCCCUAAACCAAGCUUGUCUAACCUGUGACCCACAGGCCGCAUGCAGCCCAGGAUGGCUUUGAAUGCAGCUGAACACACAUUUGUAAACUUUCCUAAAACAUGAAUUUUUUCGCAUUUA
This 3432-nucleotide long non-coding RNA is filed under the name Homo sapiens (human). RNAcentral's name for it is "long independently transcribed non-coding RNA 2642, transcript variant 8 (LINC02642)". The record is from RNAcentral. Lineage: Eukaryota; Metazoa; Chordata; Mammalia; Primates; Hominidae.